UAUAAAUAGACCACUGACAUUUCCUAUUGUACAAUAGACAUUAAUUAUUUAAUCUGCAAUUAUCUUGAUGAUACUGCUCUGUAAAGUGUUACAACCUGACAAUAAUCAGACCUGUCUGUUUCUGUAUAAUAUACCCACAGAUCUUACAAACCGGUUUGUCCUAAGUUAAAAACUCUUCUUGUAUGUUUCAAAGUUGAACACAG
Molecule: non-coding RNA, 203 nt
Organism: Pelobates cultripes (western spadefoot toad)
Lineage: Eukaryota; Metazoa; Chordata; Amphibia; Anura; Pelobatidae
Source: the annotation of a GenBank genome assembly